Molecule: ribosomal RNA, 253 nt
Filed under: uncultured bacterium
Lineage: Bacteria
Description: partial 16S ribosomal RNA
Rfam family: Bacterial small subunit ribosomal RNA
Source: RNAcentral
UACAGAGGUCUCGAGCGUUAGGCGGAAUCACUGGGCUUAAAGCGUGUGUAGGCGGACUGGUAAGUACCUUGUGAAAUCCCACGGCUCAACCCUGGGAUGCGGGUGGAUACUGCCGGGCUCGAGUCCGGAAGAGGCGAGUGGAAUUCCCGGUGUAGCGGUGAAAUGCGCAGAUAUCGGGAGGAACACCAAUGGCGAAGGCGGCUCUCUGGCCUGUAACUGACGCUGAGGCGCGAAAGCGUGGGGAGCAAACAGG